This 753-nucleotide small RNA is filed under the name Pongo abelii (Sumatran orangutan). RNAcentral's name for it is "processed transcript". The record is from RNAcentral. Lineage: Eukaryota; Metazoa; Chordata; Mammalia; Primates; Hominidae.
GCUGAAGCGGGGUAAUUCCCUCCUGCAAUUACUUUUGGAUGGAAGUAUGCCCCUUUCUCAGUAGAAGAUGGUAAUCUUGGAGAAUGACCAUGGAGAAGGGGAUGAGUUCUGGAGAAGGGCUGCCUUCCAGAUCAUCUCAGGUUUCGGCUGGUAAAAUAACAGCCAAAGAGUUGGAAACAAAGCAGUCCUAUAAAGAGAAACGGGGAGGCUUUGUGCUGGUGCAUGCAGGUGCAGGUUAUCAUUCUGAAUCCAAAGCCAAGGAGUAUAAACAUGUAUGCAAACGAGCUUGUCAGAAGGCAAUUGAAAAGCUGCAGGCCGGUGCUCUUGCAACUGACGCAGUCACUGCAGCACUGGUGGAACUUGAGGUGUACACACACAGUUACACUUCAUGGAGUUGCAUCCAGCCAAGUAUCCAUGUUCUUCUUGUGAAGAGGCAGAGAAAAUCACCUCUCCCAAGAAUUUCCACCUUCUGAACAAGGGAAAUGUGUCCUGAAGAGCUGUACGCAGAUGGGAGGCAACUUGUUUGCUUGUUCUGCUGCUAGAGCAUUGAUUUAAUUAGAAGACAGGCUGUGGGUGGCCAUGUGCAGACAAAGAAGCACCAGACAGAGCCCAUUUAGCCUGGGACAGUAAAAGAUUCUCCUUUUACAAACGCAGGAAUGGGAUCUAAUCUAAAUCUGUUAGGUGAAAUUGAGUGUGAUGCCAGCAUAAUGGACGGAAAAUCCUUAAAUUUUGGAGCAGUUGGAGCGCUGAGUG